CCUACGGGAGGCAGCAGUAGGGAAUCUUCCGCAAUGGACGAAAGUCUGACGGAGCAACACCGCGUGAGUGAUGAAGGCUUUCGGGUCGUAAAACUCUGUUGUUAGGGAAGAACAAGUGCUAGUUGAAUAAGCUGGCACCUUGACGGUACCUAACCAGAAAGCCACGGCUAACUACGUGCCAGCAGCCGCGGUAAUA
RNAcentral lists this ribosomal RNA (196 nucleotides) under uncultured Bacillus sp. Its description in RNAcentral is "partial 16S ribosomal RNA". It matches the Rfam family "Bacterial small subunit ribosomal RNA", at positions 338 to 525 of the family's 1533-position model. Lineage: Bacteria; Bacillati; Bacillota; Bacilli; Caryophanales; Bacillaceae. The record is from RNAcentral.